UGUCACGGUAGGAAAUCCAUUGGUUCCUCCGUGUCAUGUUUUGUGUUUGUUUUUGUACUCACGUAGUCUCCAUGUGCUCGUUUGGUUGAUUGUUGUCACCUGUGUGUUGAUUGUCUCGCUCCAGCUGAUCCUCAUCUCCACUCAGCUACAUAAACUCACUCAUCUCUCUGUCUGUUGUCAGAUCCUCAUUCAUGUCUCAGCUUCCCAGUUGGAUUACCGUCUCCCGUGUUCGUGUUCUGGAUUGUGUUCGUGUUGUCGUCUUCGUGAACAUAAUGAGGUGGCAGCUGUAUUUUGUCUGUCCUUACAGGAGAACUGAUCAACAAUUGAUAUUCCUGAAGUCUUUUCCUAAUAAAUGCAUAGAUGUCCAAAACCUGCUGAUUAAUCCAUUUUGCACUGAGCUACUAGAUGAAUAUUUUAUGAAGUCUAAAUGUUACAUUAACCUCACUUCAAUUGUGUCAGUUUAGUUUAGCUUAAAGUGUUUGAGCUUGUCUGGUAGCAUGAUCAAGCCUGUCCCAACUGUAUUUGAAAUGUUCUUUCACAAGUGUUUUUGUGUUUGGCUAUAUAUAUUUUAGUUUUACAUUUUAUGAUGCUAAUUUAUAAAAAAUUUAAUGUGAAUGACUGAUUCUUUAAUAAAUCUUUAGAUAUUCAGAAAUGU
Long non-coding RNA from Cyprinus carpio (common carp), 655 nucleotides. Lineage: Eukaryota; Metazoa; Chordata; Actinopteri; Cypriniformes; Cyprinidae. The record is from Ensembl.